GUGCCCGCGGCACGCCAGUCCCUAUGACAGAAAGCAUCUGCUGAUGGAGGCGGAGUUGGGAGAGGAAAAGUUCGGGAGACACCUGGUUGAGAGCAGGCUAAGAAAACAAAUGGGGAGGAACUAGCCACAAGUCCUGAAAUAGCCACUCAGGGGCAUCUGCAUGGACAGUUUCCAAGCUUUGGAUGCAGUGAUGGAGACCAGAGCACACCUGAGACCUCAGUGAAGAAAGUAGUUCUGGCGAAUCGGAUUAAUAUGGUAUGAGCAAGAUUGUCACUUUUCCCACUGAUGAUGUGAUAUGGUGUACGCGUGUGUAAUGCACACACGUGUAUGGGUGUGUUGCGUCUUCUGAGUUUUUUUCAAGGAGAAACUUUUUAGUGACCUGAAAAAGUUAAUUCAGUUGGCUACACUAGAGUUCAAUCGAAAACUUCAAAAGAGUGCAUCAUCUUAAGCUACCUAACAGAAUCACAACCUCCAGCUCAGAAUUCAAGAAUGGGCAAGUUUGUGAAAUAGGAAGCUCAGGAAAGUUUGGGGGCCAGUGAACUCCUAUUUAUUUAAAGUUCUUGGGGCUGCUUGGACUUUCUUCCCAGGGAAGGUUUAUAACUUUCAUCAGAUUUCCAAAGGGACCUAGGACCCUGCAAGCUGAUCCAUAUAGUGGGGCAGCCAAGUCAAUCAAGAGAGAACUGGGAGGUGGAUAAAAACGUUCAUCUUAAGGUUGUUGUGAAGAUUAAGUGAAAAAUGUAGAGAAAGUGCUGAGCACAUCCCUUGGCCCAAGGAAUGACAUCAUUUUUUCUUUUUAAAUAACAAAAGCUAAUCUGGCAGGGCCUGAGCAGAAAAUUGUGCCUAGGUGGCUUCCCUUUCACGUCCUCACCCUCAAAUAAAUCAACGUAUUCACUGAAAUUUGGGCUAGGGGAAAACUGUAAGAUAUUCUGUAUUUGGAAGUCAUGGAGAUUUGCAACAAAAAAGGAAACACAUGUUUUCUCCAAAUAGGAAAGAGGAGGAAACAAAAAUUAACAUUUUUGAUCACUUUUUUUCUAGCACCACUAAAACUUGACCUUCUUUAUAUCUCAAUGCCCACAUCCCAAAUAUUUCCUGUUUUCCAGGAAACGGCGUCACUACCCAUCUCUUCUCAGGCCUCAACCCUGGAGGAUAACCUAAUUUCUCACUCCCUCACUCCCUACCUGCAGUCCUUCAGCAAGUCCCGUUGGUUGGGCUGCUAAACUAUGGACUAAAUCUUUUCAGUACUUUCCAUGCCCACAGCUACCACUCUGGUCCAAGCCAAAUUCUUAGUUCCCCUGGACUUCUUACUGCAGUAGCCUCUCAGCUUCCACUCUUGGCAAAAACAAUUUUAUAAAACCUGAAAUCCCUUAAUGCCUACCACUCGUCUGCUUAAACCUUGGCAUCCCACAUCUACUGCUAUCAGAGAGGAUCACGUUUGUUGUCUUCUUCCCCCAUUUAUUUGUAAGUUCCACGGUAAGGACCUGCUCCUACAUCCCACACCUGUACAUCCACAGAGCCUGGAGACCGCAGGCGCGGGGAAAGCACUCCACGACUCUCACUGGCCAGGACACAAGAGUGCUGGAUCUGAAUCUGGAGCCAGACUUUCAGCGCUGAAAUAAACCUGAGGUUUUCCAGAGACAUUUAACUUCGUUUUACAGUCAAGGAUUCACCUAAGAAAGGGGAGUGACUUCCUGCAGUAACCCAGCCACUCUAGAGAGGGAGCCCACCACGACCUGGGAGUCUUAAAAGUCAGCAACCUUUUCCCCUCCAAAGCGCAAUGUUCCCUCAAUCCCCCGCGCGCGGCACCAGCAAAAACCCGGAGAAGCGGAGCCUUUCUCAAGGAAAAUGACCUCCAAACUCACGCUACCCGCUCGACCGGUGCGCGGGUCACGCAUGCGCAAGGCCGACCCGCCGCACCCCGCCAACUCCUAUUCGGACACGUCAUCUAGGUCGGCCGAGGUCCGAUGGAAAGGGAAGGGAUCGGGGCUUGGCCGCGGGGCGGAGAGGUCCCCCUACUUCCGGAUCCGGCCUCUCCUGGGCAACUCCUCGCUCGGGGUUCCUUGGUUACCUGGCAGCGGUGCCUACUCGAGGCCAGGGAGUGGCGGAGAGAGAGAUCGUCCGCCCUCCACGCAAGCCACAAAAUGGAGGCCCCCGCUAGAGUGGCAGUUCCGGUGGCAAACUGGAAAGAAAUGAAGUUUUUCCUUCAUUCUCCCCACGACCGUGAGGCUCCUUUUCUCAAAGUACUAAUACUUUUAUUGGGACUGUAAAACUUGAGGGAUAUGACUUUUUCCUUUCCUCUGCUUCAGAUUGCAUUUGCUAACUGAUUUACUGCCAAUACUAUGUGCUGUCAUAUUCAUAGAGACAAAGUAGCAGUGGUGGUAGAGAGGCUAGGGAAGGAGGGAUGGGGAUUUGCUGUUUAAUGGGCAGAGAGUUGCAGAUAUGGGUUGGUGAAAAAGUCGGGAUGAAUGGUGAUGACUGCACAACAAUGCAAAUAUACUAAAGUCACAGAAGUGUACACUUAAAAAUGGUUAGGCGGUAAGUUUUCUAUUAUGUGUAUUUUACCACUAUUUAUUUUUAUUUUAAUUUAUUUUUUUGAGACAAAGUCUCACUUUUGCCCAGGCUGGAGUGUAGUGGCGCGAUCUUGGCUCACUGCAAUCUCCACCUCCCUGGUUCAAGCGAUUCUCCUGCCUCAGCCUCCGGAGAGGCUGGGGAUUGCAGGCGUCCGCAACCAUGCCUAGCUAAUUUUUGAAUUUUUAAUAGGACGGGUUUCACCAUGUUGGCCAGGCUAUGCUGGUCUCUAACUUGUGAUCUCAGGCGAUCCGCCUGCCCCAGCCUCCCAAAGUGCUUGGAUUACAGGCGUGAGCCACCACACAAGGCCCAACAAUUUUUUUAAAAAUGUCAUUUGUUUCUUCUACUCCUCUCUGCCAAAAUAAUUUGGACAGCCUUUUCUGAGUUUCCCAUGAUGACUUCUGUAUAAGAUUGUCAGAUAUAGUAAAUAAAAGUACAGUAUGCCCAGGUGAAUUUUAAUUUCAGAUGAUAAAUGAUUUUUUAGUAUAAGUACAUUCCAACUAUUCCAUGGGACAUAAGGAUAUUUUAUCUGAUCACCCUACUUUUGUGUUAAAAUUAUUAGCAAAACUGCUCCCAUUUUCAGGAAGUACACACUGAACUCCACUAGUGAUACAGGAGAAUAGGGUCUGGAGACAGAACCUGAAGUUGUUUCACACUGACUUCCUACAGCCAUUUGGAAAGGAAAACCCUAACUUUCCACUCCUAAGUAGCAAAAGGCCCAGAGGCUACUCCCUUUACAAAUCCCCACCUUUUCUGUGCUGCAGCUGGAAAACUGAAAAUAACCUCUGACUGGUUGCUUUCUGCAAGAAUCUGAUGUUUCCAUAGAGUGUAAAUUUGUAACUUCACUUGAUUACAAGGCCAAGAUUGCAGGGCCAAGUCUUCCUUUGCAUAGAAGUGCAACUUUGUAACUUCACUUUAGCCUCUGAUUGCAGGCCACCACUUCAUUUGCAUAGAGUGAACACCAAGUAAGUGGCCAAUGGGAAACCCCUAGGGGUUAUUUGAACCCGAGGAGAUUCUACAUCGGGGCCCUUGAGCUGCUACUUGGCCAGCUCUCACACUGUGGAAUGUACUUUGAUUUUCAAUAGAUCUCUGCUUUCCUUGCUUCAUUCUUUCCUUGCUUUGCUGUGUGUUUUGUCCAAUUCUUGGUUCAAAAGAACCUGGACAACUUGCAGCAAGACCCUCUACUGGUAACAUAUUUUGGUAAGCCAGGUAGGAGGGAAGCCCAAAGUUUGGGAUUUAUUUUUCUCCUCUCUUUUCCUCUCUGCUACAUAUAGGAGAAUCUUUCUGUUUUCCUUUCCAACUCGUGACCCUCUGUGAACAGUGCCUAUGCACGGAAACAACUGCAACUUUCUGGCCGGGGCCACUCUGGUGAAACUGAAAGUCUUCCACGUGAAAGCACCUGACCAACACCACAGGGUUCGGAUGAGGGACCUGAGUCCUUUUCCUUAUUAUUAUUUUUUGUUGUUGUUGUUUGUUUGUUUUUGAGGGGUGUGGUAUUUUUAGUAGAGACAGGGUAUCACCAUGUUAACCAGGAUGGUCUUGAUCUCCUGAGCCUCUUUGAUCUCCGAUCCACCUGCCUCGGCCUCCCAAAGUACUGGGAUUACAGGCAUGAGCCACUGCACCUGACUUUGUUUUUGAUUUUCUAAGUUCUAUUCCUUUUCUCCUUCUUCUGAUAUUCCUUUUUCUCUUUUUCAGUCUUUGAGCUGCUGUUUUCUAGUAGCUCCUUGGCGAUUGAGGGGAACUGGUGGGGGCUACUCUCUUGUGUUGUCUGAAGGCCAAGGAGUGAACAGGGAUGGCUGCCCUGCCUGGAAGAGGGAAAUUCUAUUUUCUAUCCUUUCCAGUUAUAGUCCCUGAUCUCUACAUGUGAUGGAGUUGGCAGCAGAAGCUCAUCCUGGACGAACUCACACACAUUUCAGGCAACUUAAGCCUUCUUUUCUUAUGCUAAAUGUUUACCUUUACCUACUCAUCUGGGUAAAGGACAGACUAGCUGUGUAAAAAAAGGUUAUACAAGUCAGAGGGUCUGGGCAUGUCGUAGGUGGUCUGUGUGGGGCAUGGGGUGUGUGUGGGGGAAACUCAUGAAAGGGAAUGUAUUAUUGCCUAAUUUAAAGGGUUACAUUUAAAGGGUUAAAGGGUUGUUUAAGUAGGAUAGAAAAGCCUUAAGGAAAGUUCAUAGACGGUGCUCAGUGGUGGAGGGAACCAUUCCAAAGCAGUGCCAGCACCCAUCUAAGGUCAGAGACAUCUGACAGACUAAAUCAGGGUCCUAAAGUGGGGAUGCCCCUGGGGACCCCAGUCUGGAUCCAGAAUUUUUUCAGGGGGAUGCCUUGAGUAAAAUUUGGGCCACCUAACGGACCCUCCACUUUUCAAAGUCCUCUUCUGUCCUUCAGACCACUAUAGGCUACUCUCUAUUCCACCUGAUUCCACUGUGAGCAAUGCUACACCCCUUCCACCAGAUGCCCUGCUUGGCUACAUCCUCCACCAUUAGAAUCAAUUUGACCCUGAAAAUCUAAAGGGAAAACACAUAAUUUUUUUCUGCAAUAUGAUUUGGCCCCAUUAUGACCUCCCCAGCCCCCAACAAUGGGCAGACAAUGGUAGCCUUAACUAUGACACCAUCCUGCUAUUAGACCUACUUUGCAAGAGGCAGGAAAAAUAGUCAGAAAUCCCAUAUGCACAGGUUUUCAUGCUCCAAUAGAAAAAAAACUAACAAUCCGCAAAACUCCCAGAACCCAACCCCCGCAAAGGAAAGUGCUAAGGCAGAACUAGAUAUUAUAGAUGACCCCCUUUUACAAGGGCCAGCUGUCUCUCAGGGUGAACAGGAACUACCCCCAUAGAGCCCCUUGCCAAGUGCUUCUGAGGUGCAAACACCAGGGACCCUACUAAAUCCCCCUCACACUCAGAGAUGAACACCAUAUUCAAUUCUCUCUCCAGCCCUGCUACCUCCUAGGAAAGUAGCAGGAGCCAAGGGGCCAGUCCUCUUACAGGCUCCUUUCUCUGUAACUCACAUACAAUGUAAGGAAAAACUAGGAAGCUAUUCCAAGCAUCCUAGGAAAUUUGCGGAUGGGUUCCAGACUUUGACCUUAGCCUUUGCUUUCUCAUGGAGAGAUGUUCGAUUCAUCCUAGCAACUUAUUACACUCCCUUAGAUAUAAGCUCCAAAAGCUACAGAUGGGCCACAAACUAAUCAAAAUCAGCUUCUUGAUAUCACCAUUAUGGUGUAUAACAAUCAUGACCUGAAGGAAGGAAAAAGGGAACAGAAUAAAGAAAAAUGGCAAGCCAAAAUUAUGGCAGCCAUCAUUGGCCAAGCCCUGAAUGUCCAAAGAAUGUCUAAGGGAAACCCGAAGGACCAUAACGAUAAUGCCAGCAAAGGUUCCUGCUUCAAAUGCAAGGAAAGCGGGCAUUAGAGAAAGGCAUGUAUUACGCACCCCCAACCCUGGCCCCUGCUGUCAAUGCAAAGGCACCAGUUGUGGCCCCUGGCACUGGAGAAUUGACUGCCUGUGCUCCCACCGAGAGGGUCAGUCAAAACUAGCAGUGUGAAAGGAGGAAUUAGAUGAAGACCCAAGGGGCUCAGGGUCUUCCUCACUGCCCUUGUCCUGGAACAUUGUAAUUACUACUGAGGAGCCCCAGCUAACUCUAGACGUCAUGGAUACCCAAAUUUAGUUUCUUUUUGACAAGGGGGGAAUUACUCUGUCCUUACUGCUUACACAGGAAAGCCUUUCCUCCCAGUCUGUAAGUGUUAUGAGAAUGGAAGGGAAGCCAUAAACAAGUUCAUUGUUUUUUGUUUUUUUUUAAUGUUACUUUAAGUUCAGGGAUACAUAUGCAGAAUGUGCAGGUUUGUUAUAUAAGUAUACACAUGCCAUGGUGGUUUGCUGCACCUAUCAACCCAUGAUCUAGGUUUUAAGCCCCACGUGCAUUAGGUAUUUGUCCUAAUGUUCUUCCUCCCCUUGCUCCCCACCCUGAAACAGGCCUUGGUGUGUGAUGUUCCCUGUGUCAAUGUGUUCUCAUUGUUCAACUCCCACUUAUUAGUGAGCACAUGUAGUGUUUGGUUUUCUGUUCCUGUGUUAGUUUGCUGAGAAUGAUGGUUUCCAGCUUCAUCCAUGUCCCUGCAAAGGAUGUGAAAUUAUUUUUUAUGGCUACAUAGUAUUCCAUGGUGUAUAUGUGCAACAUUUUCUUUAUCCAGUCUAUCACUCAUGGGCAUUUGGGUUGGAUCCAUCUCUGCUAUUGUAAAUAGUGCUGCAAUAAACAUACAUGUACAUGUGUCUUUGUAGUAGAAUGAUUUAUAAUCCCUUGGUUAUAUAUCCAGUAAUGGGAUUGCUGGAUCAAAUGGUAUUUCUGGUUCUAGAUCCUUGAGGAAUCGCCACACUGUGUUCCACAAUGGUUGAACUAAUUUACACUCCCACCAACAGGGUAAAAGCAUUCCUGUUUCUCCACAGCCUCGCCAGCCUGUUGUUUCCUGACUUUCCAAUGACCACCAUUCUAAUUCUCAUGAGAUGGUAUCUCAUUGCGGUUUUGAUUUGCAUUUCUCUAAUGACCAGUGAUGAUGAGCUUUUUUUUUUCAUAUGUUAGUUGGCCACAUAAAUGUAUUCUAUUAAGAAGUGUCUGUUCAUAUCCUUUGCCCACUUUUUGAUAGGGUUGACAAACAAGAUUAUUUACUCCUCCUUUGAUUUGUCAAUUGGAGAAACAGCUCUUCUAACAGGAAUUCCUAGCAGUACCAAGCUGCCCAAUCCCCCUGUUGGGAAGAGAUAUUAUGGUUAAAAUAGGGCAUUACUACAAUUUAAGCAUCACCCAGUGAAAUUGCUGAUAGUUCAAAAAUGCAGUGUUUCAGGCCACAUUAAUAAACAGCUUAACCCAUUGGCAUUGGUAUACUGGAAAACUAGGGAAGGCUAAAACAGCAGGGCCAGUCAAAAUAGUUUGAAGACCUCAGCUACUUUCCCAAUGGAAACAAUAUUCAAUGAAGCAGGAAGCAAGAAAAGGCCUAGGACCCAUGGUUGAGGUGUUAUUUAUUAUAUGGUCUCCUAAAACCCUGUAAUUCUCCCUGCAAUACCCCCAUCUUAUCCACUCUAAAGCCUCUGGGGGAAUACCAGUUAGUAUAUGACCUCCGAAUAAUUAAUGAGGCUGUUAUUCCCAACCACCCACUGGUGGCAUAUCCAUAUACCCUUAUGGCUCAGGUACCAUGAGAUGCAAAAUGGUUCAGUCCCAGACCUAAAAGAUGCUUUCUUCUCCAUUCCUCUGGCCCCAGAGUCCUAAUACCUCUUUGCCUUCGAAUGGGAAGAUCCUAAUACCAAAGAAAAACAAUAAUAUACUUGGACAGUGCUCCCUCAGGGUGUUAAGGAUAGCCGCUACUCCUUUGCCCCAGCCUUAGAGAGGGGUCUGAGGGAUCUGAACGGGAGUACACUCUAGUGUGUGGAUGACCUUCUUGUGUGUAGCCCAGCCCAGGAGGUUUCUGACCAAACUACAAUAAAAACUUUGAAUUUCUGGUCAGACAGGGGAUACAAAGUGUCCAACAAGAAGGCACAGAUUACCCUUAAUGGAUGCAAUACUUAGGGUCCAUCUUUUUUUUUUUUGAGACGGAGUUUCGCUCUUGUUACCCAGGCUGGAGUGCAAUGGCGCGAUCUUGGCUCACCGCAACCUCUGCCUCAGCCUCCUGCGUAGCUGGGACUACAGGCACGCGCCACCGUGCCCAGCUAAUUUUUUGUAUCUUUAGUAGAGACGGGGUUUCACCAAGUUGACCAAGAUGGUCUCGAUAUCUUGACCUCGUGAUCCACCCGCCUCGGCCUCCCAAAGUGCUGGGAUUACAGGCUUGAGCCACCGCGCCUGGCCACUUAGGGUCCAUCUUAACACCCAGAGCCUGACAAAUAUCCCCAGAACGAGUGCAAGCCACAUGUGGUUUGCCCCUGCCACCGCCCUCCCCAAAACACAUACACCAAGUAGUAGCUUUGUUUGUUUUUGGGAAUGGUGGGGCUUUGCAGAAUAUGGGUUCCAAAUUUCAUACUCAUAGCAAAGGCCCUAUAUGAAGCAACAAAGGGGCCUGAAAAUGAGCUAAUAGACUGAACCCCAGAAAUGAGAGAAGUCUUUGCCAAGUUAAAACAGGCUCCUGUUCUUGGCAUCCCAGAUGUAACUGAGCCCUUCUCUUUGUAUGUAGCAGAGAAGAAGGGAAUAGCUAUGGGUGUAUUCCACAGAAAUUAGGAUCAGAACCUAGGCCAACACCUACUUUUCAAAGAAGUUGGAUGGAGUGGCCUCGGGGUGGCCAAGUUGCCUAUGGGCAAUAGCAGCCCCUGCUAUGUUAGUGGAGGAAGCCACUAAAAUCGCCCUGAGCCAACCACCGGAAGUUCUAACCCCCUCGCCAGGUUAAGUCAUUCUUAGAGAUAAAGGGAUAUAUCUGGAUGACAGGGGAAAGAUUAGCCAAAUACCAGGCCAUGCUCCCAGACAAUCCAGAUGUAACCCCUAAAACCUGCAACACUUUGAAUCCAGCCUCGUUGCUGCCCACAGGCCCAAUAACUGAUCAUUUCUGCCGGCAGGUCGUUGCACAUACAUAAUGUUAGCCGGCCUACAUUAAAGACCAGCCUCCCCCAGAUUCUGAGGAUGAGUGCUUCACAGAUGGCAGUAGUGUUGUGUCAAGUGGGGUUUGACACAGCACUGAGCUGGAUAUGCAGCAGUAAAUCAUAACACAAUCAUCGAAGCCCAGCCACUGCUCCUUGGCACAUCAGCACAAAAGGCUGAAAUCAUUGCUCUUACUUGAGCCUUAAUGUUGAGACAAGGAAAAAAGCUUAACAUCUAUAUAGAUUCUGAAUAAGCAUUUCUUCUAGUUCAUGCUCACACUACAAUCUGGAAAGAAAGGGGAUUACUAACUAGCAAACAGUCCCCUAUAAAGCAUGGGCUUGUCAGCUAUUGGAAGCAAUAAACUUGCCAAAGGCCAUGCUAUAAUUCAUUGUGGGGCAUCAAAGGGACUCAACCACUAUAGCACAAGGGAACAGAAAAGCUGACAGAGAAGCCAGAGCCACAGCCCUCAGGGUGCAAUCCCAACAGAUCCUAGCACUGCUGCCUUUCUGUGAUUCCCCAGUAGAACCUGAGUACACACUACAGGAAGAACCGUUAAUAAAGGAACAAAGGGGACAAAAAGAAAAAAGAAAGGAACUUGGUAGUAGAUGGGGUCAAAAAUAUAUCUCUCCCAGACAGCCCAGUGGAAAGUUAUAAAAGCCAUGCAUGCAUCUUUCCAUGUGGGAAGGGAUGCAACUCUGGCCAUGUUAAACCAGCUCUUUACUGGGUCUAACUUGGCUUCAGUGGCUAAGCAGGUCUGCCAAGACUGCUCGCUGUGUACACUUAACAACCCAGGAAACAACAUGACAACAUGCUUCCUCUAAUAGAACCAGUGCAGAGGAGAGGAAAUUAUCCAGGGGAAGACUGGCAGUUAGAGUUCAUAUGCAGAGGAUAUGUGUUUUUGUUAGUACUAAUAGAUAGUUUUACUGGUUGGGUUGAAGCUUACCUAUCACAACAGAGAAGGUUAAUGAGGUUAUAAAGUUUAUAUUAAAAGAAAUAAUUCCUGGGUUUGGGUUACCUCAGAACCUCCAAAGUGAUAAUGGCCUGUCCUUUAUCUCCCCAAUAACUCAAGGGUUUGCUAAGGAUUUUGGAAUCAAAUAUUAUUUACAUUUAGCAUGGAGACCUCAAUCCUCUGGGAAAGGAGAAAGGGCUGACCAAACUCUAAAAUGAGUGUUGCUAAGCUACGUAAGGAAACAUCAGAAACUUGGGUCAGCUUACUGCCCUUAACCCUCUUAAGGAUCCAUAAUACCCCUAGAGCAAACGUUAAUAUAAGCCCAUAUGAAUCUUAUUCUUCUUGACUAAUGAUUUAAUUACUGAUCCAGAAAGAGCUGAUUUAGUAAAAUACCUAACCAAUCUAGGACAAUUUCAGCAGGCUUUCCAAAAAUGGAAUUCAGAGGCUUCCCACACCGGGAACAACCAGCACCCUAAAAUCAGGUCAGGAGAUAAGGUACUUGUUAAAACGUGGAAGGAGCGAUCACCAGCUCAGCAAUUACAACCAAAACAGAAGGGACUGUUUUCAGUGGUACUGGCCACGCCUUCGGCAGUCAAAGUACUAGGAUUAGAUAGCUAGAUACAUCUUUCAAGGAUCAAGACAGCAAUACUAGAAGACCUGGAACAGGAACCUCAAGUUCCCAUCUGUCACUACACUUGUGAACCUGUGGAAGACCUGAAGUACCUGUUUAGAAGAUAGCCAAAAGAUAAGUAAAUGCCUACCAAUUUUCCUUGGUAUCUUUGUUGCAUAGUUACUAUAGGCUGGAUAAUAGUAGCCAUUUACAAAUUUUUUUCUUUUGCGUUUAAUUGACUUCUUCCAAAUGGAUGGAAUCACUACCUUUGUAGUAACUUUUUUUUUUUUUUUUUGAGAUGGAGUUUCGCUCUUGUUACCCAGGUUGGAGUGCAAUGGCACAAUCUCGGCUCACCGCAACCUCCGCCUCCUGGGUUCAAGCAAUUCUCCUGCCUCAGCCUCCCAUGUAGCUGGGACUACAGGCGCGCACCACCAUGCGCAGCUAAUUUUUGUAUUUUUAGUAGAGACGGGGUUUCAUCUUGUUGACCAGGAUGGUCUCGAUCUCUUGACCUUGUGAUCCACCCGCCUCAGCCUCCCAAAGUGCUAGGAUUAUAGGCGUGAGCCACUGCGCCCAGCCCCUUUGUAGUAAUUAAGCAAAAUGUUUUAAUACAUUUCUAUAACAAACAUUCCUGAUGGCAUAGGUAUCCACCUCCAAAGUUCCCAUUAUAUCUUUUAACCAAAUUCAUUUCCUCUUGCAGUAGAGACUGUCAAGCUUCAGACCAUCAUGUGACAAGGUUUCCAGCCAGUUCCAGGUGAAGACACCACCCCUGGCCAUCAAGAAGCCACCCCAUCUCCACUAGACAGAGCAGGGAGAUUGUUCCGUGAUCUCCAACAGGUAGGGAUACACCCCAAGUCAGCAUAGAAAAAAAGACCAUCAGUCCCUCUGCCUCCCAUAAAGAUUUAUGGGGACCACGUCUCUCAGUGGGGAGAUGAGGCAGGAGAAUAGGGUCUGGAGGCAGGGAAACUAAGGCCAUUUCACACAGACUUCCUAGAACUAACCUGAAAGGAAAACCCUGAUUUUCCAUGCCUAAGUAACAAAAGGACCAGAGGCUACUCCCUUUGCAAACCCUCACCUUUUCUGUGUGUCAGAUGGGAAAUUGAAAGUACCUCUGAUUGAUUGUUUCUGCAACCAAUCACACCUUUGCAUCAGAAUGUAACUUUGUAAUUUCACUUCUGUCUCUGAUCAGCUGCUGUCUGCAACCAGACUGACUGCGGGCCAAGUCUUCCUUUGCAUAUAAGUGCAACUUUGUAACUUCAUCUAAGCCUUUGAUUAGUUGCUUUCUGCAACCAGUCAGAUGUUUGCAUAGGAGUGUCACCUUUGUAACUUCACUUCAGCCUCUGAUUGGUUGCUUUCCACAACCAAUCAGACUGAUUGUGGGCCACCACUUUCUUUACAUGAGGUGAACACCAAGUGGCCAAUGGGAAACUUCUAGGGGACAUUUGGACCUGAGAAGAUUCUGCAUCUGGGGCUCUUGAGUUGCUGCUGUGCUCACUCUCACAGUGUGGAGUGUACUUUCACUUUCAACAAAUCUCUGCUUUUGUUGCUUCAUUCUUUCCUUGCUUUGCCGUGUGUUUUGUCCAAUUAUUUGUUCAAAACACCAAGAACCUGGAAAACUUACAGUCAAGACCCUCUACCAGUUGUAUCCCUGUACAUGAAUGGGCUUUCAAGAUUUUCCUAGAAGAAAAAGAUCACCUCAUUGUCCUUCAUUUUUUGGCAUAAAACUGUGAUUGCCCAAUAGAUAAAAUAUGAGUUACUGAUCACCCCUGGAGAGGAUUAGAAUAUGCCACCCCAAAAUAUGCCACUUUGGCAUAAAGAUUAUUUUGAGCUGAAGGCAAUUGAGAAACAGUAGACACAGGAAAAGCUACCUGUCUUUCCCCUUCUGGUCUAAAAGCAGAAAAUAAAUUUCCCUUUGGAAAUAUGACAUACAGUUUUAUUUAUAAAGGUGUUCCCUUCUCCUCUACCAGGAAGACCUGAGAUGGCACCAAAAUGAAUCUGCCUAACAAACCUUACUACUCAAUUCUUAUCUACCAUACAUUUCAUAGCCACCUUCCCAUAAUUCACUGCCCUUAGGAGCCCAAGUCCCUUCCCUUUGACUACUCACCUCUCUACAACGUAUUACCCUUUGUUAAAAUGGUAUGUAAGCUCCUAAAUUUAACCACGUCUUUCGGUUUUCACUUAUCUGUGAAGCUGCCAUGGAUGUAAAAAUAUUAAUAAAAUUUGUAUGCUUUUUCUCCUGCUAAUUUUAUGUCUUUUAUCGACUUAAUUUGCAGGCCCCAAGUACAUAAUUAAGAGAGUAGGAGGACAAGUGUUUUCUCUCCUACACCUCUUUCCCUCUUAGUGUAAACACUACAGAUUGGAAAUAAAAUUUAUCCUGAACAAUAGGCUUAUAAAUGCAACUAGUGGCUAGGUACAGUGGCUCACACUUGUAAUCCUAACACUUUGGGAGGCUGAGGUGGGUGGAUCACCUGAAGUCAGGAGUUCGAGAUCAGCCUGGCCAACAUGGAGAAACCCUGUCUCUACUAAAAAAUACAAAAAUUAGCUGGGCAUGGUGGUGCACAUGUGUAAUCCCAGCUACUUAGGAAGCUGAGACAGGAGGAUUGUUUGAACCCAGGAGGCAGAGGUUGCAGUGAGCCGAGAUCAUCCCACUGUACUCCAGCCUGGGCAUCAGAGCAAGACACACAUAAGAGAAAAAACAAAAUAAAUAAAAUAAAUGUAACUAGUGGUAGAUUGACGCCAACAUAUAUAAAAUGUUAAGCUUUAAGAUAAAUAGUGGUUCUCAGAACAUAACUUAGCUAAUAUAAAGGCUAUUUAUAAGCUAACAUAGAAGUUGCAACCAGAAGGGGGAUUAUUUUGGCCAGCAGAACCUGGAAAAAUGAAAGCCACAGAGGCAAAUACCAAAGUAUCACUCAGGAAAGACAAGAGUGUAGCUCUGUGAUGUAGAUGGAUAUAUUCUAAUCAUAAAACUAAUUCUACUUCCUCUGAAUUUAUGCCUGCAAAGCAACUUUCUGCUUAACUUUUUCUUGUCUCUGAUGUAUUUUUAACUUAAAUAUCUUUAAACACUUUGAUAAGAGUUCUUAUAUUCUCCUUAGAAACACUUUGUGAGCUAUAUGAACUGCAAAUACUGCUUCAUUGAAAAGAUUCCUAGAAUCAUGAAAGAAAGCAAAGUGCUAAUAUUGUUGUUCACUGCUUCACUUAUAAGAUGAAAUGCAUACCAUAUAUAAAUCUAGAAAAAAUGUCAUAAUUUCAGGUUGAAUGUUAGAGUUUACACAGUAAUCUCGUAUUUCUGUAGAAGUGUCAAAAAAGGGCAAAAUUGGCCGGGCGCGGUGGCUCAAGCCUGUAAUCCCAGCACUUUGGGAGGCCGAGGCAGGUGGAUCAUGAGGUCAAAAGAUCCAGACUAUCCAGGUCAACAUGGUGAAACCCCGUCUCUACUAAAAAUACAAAAACUUCGCUGGGCAUGGUGGCGCGUGCCUGUAAUCCCAGCUACUCAGGAGGCUGAGGCAGGAGAAUUGCCUGAACCCAGGAGGUGGAGGUUGCGGUGAGCCGAGAUUGUGCCAUUGCACUCCAGCCUGGGCCUGGGUAACAAGAGCGAAACUCCGUCUCAAAAAAAAAAAAAAAAAAAAAAAGGCGAAAUUAUAUAGUACAGAGGAGUGAGUGGCUGGAGGCUCUCUAAACAAGGUGCCCACUGGAUGCCAUUAUCUUGGUGAGAAAGAGAAAAGCAGCCACUGACAUGAGGAGUUGGCCUGGUUCUUACAGACAGGACUUGGCAUUCUCCUGUCAAAUAUAAGCAAUUUCACAGAAUAUGAACAUUAGACAAGGCUGUGCUGAUGUAGCAAGACAAAAACCCUGUAACCCUCAGUAAUCAUGUCUCAACAACCUACCAAAACCCGAACAUGGUCCAAACCACAAAAUGACCAAACAUCCCCUAUCUUGCCUAAGAAUAGUGACUACUGCUUCUUUACCAAUUACAAUAUAGGCCUGAGUCUAGUCCACCCUCCUUCUAGAUAAGAGUUUAAAUUAGAUAUCCAAUUUUAAGAAUUACCCCCUGCUUCCUGACAGCAUUUGAUCCAGAGCAAAGCUUCACUUCUUUAAAACACUCCCCAAACCACCAAACACAAGCUCAAUUCUUACAAAUUUCCUUCCACCCCCUCUUACUAGAUGUCCCAUGAUUCCUCUUGGUGUGCAUUCUCGCUUGCUGCAACAAGGAAAUAAAGCCAACUACAAGUGUGUUCCCGGCGGUCUUUAGCUGAAGAGCACUGACGCUGGAGAAUGCAGGAGAAUUCAAGAGCUGGAGACAGCUUACUUGUUAGGACACUAAAAACAGACCUGUCUUUCAAGGGUGAAUUUAUAUUAGCCACAGACAGAAACUGAUGGAUAAAUAACAUUACUAAUUUAUUAAUUUAUGAAAAAGAAAGCUUAGAAGAGUCAGAAAAGGCAAAUGUAUAGAGUGAGAAAAGAGCUGAAUGGUUUCCUGAAGAAAGAAGAAUGUAAAUCAAGUGCAUUUGGCCUCCUUAGCUGGUUUUUGCAACAUCCAUGACAGAAUUCUGAGAUUCUGAGAAGCAGAAUGGACCUGAGAAGCAGACCCCUAUGGGAAGAUGGCAGUCAACACUCCUAGCCACGCUGGGGGGAAUCCCAGCCUCCCGCAUCCAUCCCUGCCAUGACUACCAGCAGCAAGCGAGGCCCCAGGCAUCCUACGGGGCAAUGCCGUUUCUCAAACAUCCCCAGUUGUCAUCAGACACUAAACUGCAGUUUGGCAGUUUGGUAGAGCAAUUGUCUGCCUUUGAGAAUGACACCACACAGCACAAGGAUAUCACUAAAGGCCAUUAACAGGCAUUUGUAGCUUCUUAAAGAUUUGGCCUUGACUCCCAUUAUUAGUUCUGGAACCUAAAAUAAAAUCAAAUAACUUUA
Callithrix jacchus (white-tufted-ear marmoset) is the source of this 15561-nucleotide non-coding RNA. Lineage: Eukaryota; Metazoa; Chordata; Mammalia; Primates; Cebidae. The record is from RefSeq and is a predicted model, not a curated record.